Stegostoma tigrinum is the source of this 672-nucleotide RNA transcript. It is a transcript of the gene named dystrotelin-like, with no coding region annotated. Lineage: Eukaryota; Metazoa; Chordata; Chondrichthyes; Orectolobiformes; Stegostomatidae. The record is from RefSeq and is a predicted model, not a curated record. The transcript has 3 exons.
GAGCAGAAGCAAUUUACAAUAAUUCCAGGGAUGUGAUAUCCCAUUAUGAAAAUCGACUGGGGGAGUUGGGACAGUUUUCCUCGACUUUGCUAGCAUUUGUUUCUCCCCACAUAAUUUGCCGUUUCUUCAAAAUAAAAAAAAAUACAUAAUUUAACUACUUAACUUGCAUUCCUUCGAUGGUUAAAAAUAUCCAAACAAAAAUGAACAUUUCUCUUACUACUUGUUCUUCCUUUAUAGGUACCGCAGCCUCAAACACUUGAAUUAUGACAUGUGCCGAAGCUGUUUCUUUUCGGGGCGCACGUCAAAGGGGCACAAGUUACAUUACCCAAUGGUGGAGAACUGCACUCCAACAACAUCAGGUGAAGAUGUGCGUGAUUUCAGCAAGGUGCUGAAAAAUAAGUAAGAAAUAUUUUGCCAAACAUCCUCGCUUGGGUUAUUUACCAGUACAAACAGCUCUAGAAGGCGAGAACCUUGAGACUGGAUCUGUUGGAGUUGCACACAGCGCAACGCGUCUUUGAUCAACACAAAUUGACACAAACCGAGCAACUUCUGAAUGUGACUGAAGUAAUCAACUGUUUAACGUCCAUUUAUGAUGUUUUGGAACAAAACCACAAGGACUUGGUCAAUGUGCCACUCUGUGUCGACAUGUGUCUGAACUGGCUGCUGAACGUA